ACUCCUACGGGAGGCAGCAGUGGGGAAUAUUGCACAAUGGGCGUAAGCCUGAUGCAGCGACGCCGCGUGAGGGAUGACGGCCUUCGGGUUGUAAACCCCUUUCAGCACAGACGAAGCGCAAGUGACGGUAUGUGCAGAAGAAGCACCGGCCAACUACGUGCCAGCAGCCGCGGUAAUACGUAGGGUGCGAGCGUUGUCCGGAAUUACUGGGCGUAAAGAGCUCGUAGGUGGUUUGUCGCGUUGUCCGUGAAAACUCACAGCUUAACUGUGGGCGUGCGGGCGAUACGGGCAGACUGGAGUACUGCAGGGGAGACUGGAAUUCCUGGUGUAGCGGUGGAAUGCGCAGAUAUCAGGAGGAACACCGGUGGCGAAGGCGGGUCUCUGGGCAGUAACUGACGCUGAGGAGCGAAAGCGUGGGGAGCGAACAGGAUUAGAUACCCUGGUAGUCCACGCCGUAAACGGUGGGUACUAGGUGUGGGUUUCCUUCCUUGGGAUCCGUGCCGUAGCUAACGCAUUAAGUACCCCGCCUGGGGAGUACGGCCGCAAGGCUAAAACUCAAAGAAAUUGACGGGGGCCCGCACAAGCGGCGGAGCAUGUGGAUUAAUUCGAUGCAACGCGAAGAACCUUACCUGGGUUUGACAUGCACAGGACGCUGGUAGAGAUAUCAGUUCCUUGUGGCCUGUGUGCAGGUGGUGCAUGGCUGUCGUCAGCUCGUGUCGUGAGAUGUUGGGUUAAGUCCCGCAACGAGCGCAACCCUUGUCUCAUGUUGCCAGCACGUAAUGGUGGGGACUCGUGAGAGACUGCCGGGGUCAACUCGGA
Molecule: ribosomal RNA, 819 nt
Filed under: uncultured Actinomycetes bacterium
Lineage: Bacteria; Bacillati; Actinomycetota; Actinomycetes
Description: bacterial SSU rRNA
Rfam family: Bacterial small subunit ribosomal RNA
Source: RNAcentral